UAUAGCAUUAUACCGUGAAACUGCGAAUGGCUCAUUAAAUCAGUUAUCGUUUAUUUGAUAGUACCUUACUACUUGGAUAACCGUGGUAAUUCUAGAGCUAAUACAUGCUGAAAACCCCAACUUCGGGAGGGGUGUAUUUAUUAGAUAAAAAACCAACGCCCUUCGGGGCUUCUUGGUGAUUCAUGAUAACUUCACGGAUCGCAUGGCCUUGCGCCGGCGACGGUUCAUUCAAAUUUCUGCCCUAUCAACUUUCGAUGGUAAGGUAUUGGCUUACCAUGGUUUCAACGGGUAACGGGGAAUUAGGGUUCGAUUCCGGAGAGGGAGCCUGAGAAACGGCUACCACAUCCAAGGAAGGCAGCAGGCGCGCAAAUUACCCAAUCCCGACACGGGGAGGUAGUGACAAUAAAUACUGAUACAGGGCUCUUUUGGGUCUUGUAAUUGGAAUGAGUACAAUUUAAACCUCUUAACGAGGAACAAUUGGAGGGCAAGUCUGGUGCCAGCAGCCGCGGUAAUUCCAGCUCCAAUAGCGUAUAUUAAAGUUGUUGCAGUUAAAAAGCUCGUAGUUGAAACUUGGGCCUGGCUGGCAGGUCCGCCUCACCGCGUGUACUUGUCCGGCCGGGCCUUUCCUUCUGGAGAACCUCAUGCCCUUCACUGGGUGUGCUGGGGAACCAGGACUUUUACUUUGAAAAAAUUAGAGUGUUCAAAGCAGGCCUUUGCUCGAAUACGUUAGCAUGGAAUAAUAGAAUAGGACGUGCGGUCCUAUUUUGUUGGUUUCUAGGACCGCCGUAAUGAUUAAUAGGGACAGUCGGGGGCAUCAGUAUUCAAUUGUCAGAGGUGAAAUUCUUGGAUUUAUUGAAGACUAACUACUGCGAAAGCAUUUGCCAAGGAUGUUUUCAUUAAUCAGUGAACGAAAGUUAGGGGAUCGAAGACGAUCAGAUACCGUCGUAGUCUUAACCGUAAACUAUGCCGACUAGGGAUCGGGCGAUGUUCUUUUUCUGACUCGCUCGGCACCUUACGAGAAAUCAAAGUU
This 1030-nucleotide ribosomal RNA is filed under the name Leptosphaerulina australis. Its description in RNAcentral is "SSU rRNA". It matches the Rfam family "Eukaryotic small subunit ribosomal RNA", at positions 68 to 1105 of the family's 1831-position model. Lineage: Eukaryota; Fungi; Ascomycota; Dothideomycetes; Pleosporales; Didymellaceae. The record is from RNAcentral.